UAAGAUUUCAAGUUUCUCUGUGCAAAAGUAAAUGAGAAAAAUCUCAAAGAGAUGCCAGCAGUGCUACACAAUUGUCUGCCCACAGCUUCUGUUUGGUCAGGCUUGAGGCAAUGAGCAUCCUAUGGAAAUAGAAACCAAGUGAUCCAAUGUGUAAAAAUCUGCCUUGGUCUGAGUGAACUGGCUUGAACUUUGUCAGGAAAAGAAAGACUCGUGAGGUCUUGUGCAACCCACGUUUCUGUGCUCUUCAGUAAAAAUGCCUCACAACAUCUAAUGACAUAACGAUCCACGUCAAGACCAGGACCUUCCGACGACCUCCUCCACCACGUGUGAGCUCAGCUGUACCUGGCACAGGCAUCUUCCCUGCAGCUGGGCAGCUCAGAGAGGGAUCUGUUACCUUUGACAUUCCCCAGCAGUGCUGCAGGUCACAGGCGCUGAGAGUCACCAGCUUUCCUGGAACAGAUCUCCACCCCAAACUCCACCAAUUGAGUCACAUUCACAGCUUUCUGGCAGGUCUGACUCUCCCAGGCUGACCUGUAGGUUGAAAUACUUUUCCCAGCCAGAAUUUCUCAUUUGAUCUUCUGAGCAGAGAGCAUCAGUUUUCAGCAUAAAUUAAUGUUGCUCAGCAAGACCAAAAAAAAAAAGCAACCUGCUCUCCAGCAGGAAAAAAACAGACCUGCUCAGCACCUGCCAGCCACCCCUUAGAGUUAGAUAGAAUCCCCCGCUCCAGCUUGCGCUGAAACUAUCAGCAGCUGAUAGAUUACAGUUGUCUCUAAACCUGCAGGCUGGGUUUAGUGGCUUUCCUUCAUUUAAAGAGUUCAGCCAUUGACUGCAGCAACAAGUCUGACGAAGGAGAAAAUAGCAAGCCAUUAGCUGCCUGAGCAGAGACUUCCUGCCCGGAGGACAUGGGGAGAAGGAACGGCUCUAAGUGGAUCCUCUGCAGCAGAAAAUCUCGUUUAGAAUAAUAACCCAAAGUUGUGUCUCCUGAGAGGCUGUGCAUAUGCUGGAGGUCUUUGCUGCACCUUCAUCAGCCUUUCUACAUCCUUGAAACUAUACACACAGCUGGGAUGGGAUGUACAUGGCAGAGUAUCAUCUCUGCACCUGUGGCCCUGGGCUCCUCAGAGUGAUGGGAGAAAGGAACAGUUGUCUUUGUUUUGAGCUACCCCACAGCCCACGUUAGGAUGCAGUGUGUCACUUCCCAUGUGCACCUCAAGUGGUCAAAAGGAAAGCAG
RNAcentral lists this long non-coding RNA (1229 nucleotides) under Gallus gallus (chicken). Its description in RNAcentral is "lncRNA (ENSGALG00010007459.1)". Lineage: Eukaryota; Metazoa; Chordata; Aves; Galliformes; Phasianidae. The record is from RNAcentral.